RNAcentral lists this ribosomal RNA (253 nucleotides) under uncultured bacterium. RNAcentral describes it as "partial 16S ribosomal RNA". It matches the Rfam family "Bacterial small subunit ribosomal RNA", at positions 524 to 776 of the family's 1533-position model. The record is from RNAcentral.
UACGGAGUGUGCAAGCGUUACUCGGAAUCACUGGGCAUAAAGCGCGCGUAGGCGGGCUUUCAAGUCGGUUGUGAAAUCCCUCAGCUCAACUGAGGAACUGCAUCCGAUACUGUUUGUCUUGAGGACGAGAGGGGAGAGUGGAACUUCUGGUGGAGCGGUGAAAUGCGUAGAUAUCAGAAGGAACACCAGUGGCGAAGGCGGCUCACUGGUCCGGUACUGACGCUGAGGUGCGAAAGCGUGGGGAGCAAACGGG